AUAAAAUAAAGUGUAAGUAAAAUUAUAUUAUAUUUAAUAUUUAUUUUUAACAUAACCGAUUCCUGUAUCUAUUAAUUUUCUUCGGAGUUAAAAAAUGAAUUAACAUUAAUUAAUGUUUAUUUAAAUUAAAUAAAUACGUUAUAAUGCAUUACUUGGCCCUCAUAACAAAUUAAUUCUUUUUUUAGAGUGUGGGAUUUGUUUAGAUGCUCUUGAUGAAGAAACACGUACUUUAAAAUGUUGUAACAGGAAGUAUUGUAAAAAAUGUAUUACUUCUUGGCUAAAUACAGGUGUUGAUAGAUGUCCUUUAUGCUUUAUUGCUAUACCUAAUUUAUGUUAUGCAUGUAAAUCGGAUAUUUCUGGUAGUGGGAAAAAGUAUGUAACAACAUGUUGUAAAAGAAUAUUAUGUUACAAUUGCUUUUUACAGAAUUUUAAAGAAAAAUAUCAUUUACGUUGUCCUUUUUGCAAAAUACUUAGAGAAAAAGGUAAAAAAUUUGAAGUAAUUAAGUUGAAAACAUUAUGUAAUGAAUGUAAAACAAAGAAAGGAAAAUAUAGCUAUUCAUCAAUUUGUCCACAUGUUUUUUGCAAGGAAUGCUUUAAAAAAAUAAAAAAAGAAAACGAACAUUGCCCAUAUUGUAAUCAACCACUUAUAAGACGACAAGA
This is a long non-coding RNA of Daktulosphaira vitifoliae (grape phylloxera), 660 nucleotides long. RefSeq lists it as uncharacterized. The transcript is spliced from 3 exons. NCBI's taxonomy places the organism in Eukaryota, Metazoa, Arthropoda, Insecta, Hemiptera, Phylloxeridae. The record is from RefSeq and is a predicted model, not a curated record.